Molecule: ribosomal RNA, 578 nt
Filed under: Escherichia coli
Lineage: Bacteria; Pseudomonadati; Pseudomonadota; Gammaproteobacteria; Enterobacterales; Enterobacteriaceae
Description: partial 23S ribosomal RNA
Rfam family: Bacterial large subunit ribosomal RNA
Source: RNAcentral
AGUGUACCCGCGGCAAGACGGAAAGACCCCGUGAACCUUUACUAUAGCUUGACACUGAACAUUGAGCCUUGAUGUGUAGGAUAGGUGGGAGGCUUUGAAGUGUGGACGCCAGUCUGCAUGGAGCCGACCUUGAAAUACCACCCUUUAAUGUUUGAUGUUCUAACGUGGACCCGUAAUCCGGGUUGCGGACAGUGUCUGGUGGGUAGUUUGACUGGGGCGGUCUCCUCCUAAAGAGUAACGGAGGAGCACGAAGGUUGGCUAAUCCUGGUCGGACAUCAGGAGGUUAGUGCAAUGGCAUAAGCCAGCUUGACUGCGAGCGUGACGGCGCGAGCAGGUGCGAAAGCAGGUCAUAGUGAUCCGGUGGUUCUGAAUGGAAGGGCCAUCGCUCAACGGAUAAAAGGUACUCCGGGGAUAACAGGCUGAUACCGCCCAAGAGUUCAUAUCGACGGCGGUGUUUGGCACCUCGAUGUCGGCUCAUCACAUCCUGGGGCUGAAGUAGGUCCCAAGGGUAUGGCUGUUCGCCAUUUAAAGUGGUACGCGAGCUGGGUUUAGAACGUCGUGAGACAGUUCGGUCCCUA